Punica granatum (pomegranate) is the source of this 1743-nucleotide non-coding RNA. The record is from RefSeq and is a predicted model, not a curated record. NCBI's taxonomy places the organism in Eukaryota, Viridiplantae, Streptophyta, Magnoliopsida, Myrtales, Lythraceae.
GCGAUCCUGUAAAUGGCGGACGAGAAGAGAAGCGCUCCAUCGGACGACAAUGGAGCCGUGGGAAGCGCUUGACAUUGACGACUCGGAGGUCUCCUCCUUCCUCCGCCCUUCGAAGCGGCAAGGUCUCAGCCCUGACGCAGCUCCUCCGCCGCAGCGGCGGCUCAACAAAACCCUAACACUGAACCCCUCGCCUCCCGCUUCCAUUCUCAGACCCUGCUCUCAGCUCCUCGCUCCACAAGAGCCAUCCAUCUCACAGCCUACGCCCAAUUCUCAGAUACUAGCUUCCGUUUCCAUUGUCGAGCCCGAGACAUCACGUCGGCUCCUGCAACAGCCGGAGAGUUGGAAAUCUUUGUCACGGCGGAUCCCAGGACCCGCAGGAGCUGUACAAGUAGCGAUGCAGCGAAAGGUUCGGAACUCGAAGGUCCCUGUGCAGGGUGAUGAUAGAGAUGCCCCGAUACCUACUCAGGAAUACUUAAGGAGGGCUGUCGAGAAUGGAGAUGAAGAUGAUGGCGACUUUGCCCUAAAUCCAUGGGUUUGUGCAGUGAAUUUCGUUAGGUGUGAAGGUUUGGUGGGUGGUGAUGGUGUGGCGAUUGGGACACCUCUGUGCUCCAUCAGGAGUGGAAAUCUCACCGACAAGGUUGCUCAGGUGGUUGCAAUUAUCAAAUCUUGCAAUCCAAAUGGUCUUGGCGAUCUCUUGGUAACACUUAAGGAUCCUACUGGUUUGAUUGGGGCUACCAUUCACCGGAGAGUCCUCAACUACGGUAGUUUUGGGAAGGACAUAACUGUGGGUGCAGUUCUAAUACUUCAAAAGGUUGCUGUGUUUUCCCCUGCUCGAUCUUCUCGCUAUCUCAAUAUAACUUUGAACAAUGUGGUCAAGGUCAUCUCUAAGGACAUGGGGCCGAUAUCAGAACAGACUUCUUGUACACCGCCAGUGAAACAUACCUCUGUAGCAGAAAACUAUGGGAAGUCAAGCCGACCGAAGGCAGCAGUUCCUCAGUUAAGGGAAAGAAUUGAUGGGAUCAUGAAUAGCUUCAGACAAAGUGCGAAUAUGAGUGCGAAUACCCUUGCUGGAAGACAUUCUGAACAGCAUGAUGAUUUAAGGACAGUCGAUUCCUACAGCAGUCUAAGCCGCAGAGAGCACAGUUCUUCCAUAGAGAAGGAACCUGUAUCAAUAACACAUGAUGCUGGGAGUCAAUUAGAACAAGCUGAAAUGGAUGUACUGAUGACUGACAGCAAUCCUGUAGGAGUCUCUGAAAGUGGUGAUGGAAUGAAACAAGGGAAUGGAUAAGGAGGCUAUUCAACAGACAGUAAUACAAUAGGCAACAGCGGGAUGUCGAACACGAGAGAAGCCUCUCAAGGUGCAGAAGGUGGGAAGAUGAACAGAAUUAAGGAGCUGAAAGAAGCAGUGGUUUCAAAAAGUUCACUUCCGGAGUGGACAGAUGAACAGCUGGAGGAGCUCUUGGAGUACGAUUGAUGAGGAAUCCUCUAGGCCAAAUAAAUCUGGCAGAGGUUGCAAGAUGAGGCCAUUAUGAGCAGGGAAGCACGCCAAUACUUAAUCAUCCAUUACUGGAACAACUUCCUCAGUCUCUCUGCAGAAAGGGCUGCUCUCUUGUUGGUUGGUUCUAGGACAAGUGAGUAAUUGAAGUCUGCAUGUUAAAAAAAUGACGAUAAUCGUUACAUCCGAGAGUUGCAAACCGAGCUGAAGCAGUGUGCUUUUAAUUUGCGUGUAGAAAGUAGUCCAUU